Molecule: ribosomal RNA, 430 nt
Filed under: uncultured bacterium
Lineage: Bacteria
Description: bacterial SSU rRNA
Rfam family: Bacterial small subunit ribosomal RNA
Source: RNAcentral
UCGAGAAUCAUUCACAAUGCGCGAAAGCGUGAUGAUGCGACGCCGCGUGGAGGAUGAAGGCCUUCGGGUUGUAAACUCCUGUCAGCAGGGAUUAAAUGCAAUUUGGUCAACAGCCUUAUUGUUUGACUUUACCUGCAGAGGAAGCCACGGCUAACUUCGUGCCAGCAGCCGCGGUAAUACGAAGGUGGCGAGCGUUGUUCGGAUUUACUGGGCGUAAAGGGUGCGUAGGUGGUUUGGUAUGUCGGAUGUGAAAGCCCACGGCUCACCCGUGGAAUUGCAUUCGAAACUGCCAGACUAGAGUAUCGGAGAGGUAAGUGGAAUUCUUGGUGUAGCGGUGAAAUGCGUAGAUAUCAAGAGGAACACCGGUGGCGAAGGCGACUUACUGGACGAAUACUGACACUGAGGCACGAAAGCUGGGGUAGCGAAGAGG